Molecule: ribosomal RNA, 422 nt
Filed under: uncultured archaeon
Lineage: Archaea
Description: partial 16S ribosomal RNA
Rfam family: Archaeal small subunit ribosomal RNA
Source: RNAcentral
CUACGGGGUGCUCCAGGCGAGAAAACUUUGCAAUGUGCGAAAGCACGACAAGGUUAAUCCGAGUGGUUUCUGCUAAAGGAACCUUUUGACAGUCCUAGAAACACUGUUGAAUAAGGGGUGGGCAAGUUCUGGUGUCAGCCGCCGCGGUAAAACCAGCACCUCAAGUGGUCAGGAUGAUUAUUGGGCCUAAAGCAUCCGUAGCCGGCUCUGUAAGUUUUCGGUUAAAUCUGUACGCUCAACGUACAGGCUGCCGGGAAUACUGCAGAGCUAGGGAGUGGGAGAGGUAGACGGUACUCUGUAGGAAGGGGUAAAAUCCUUUGAUCUAUUGAUGACCACCUGUGGCGAAGGCGGUCUACCAGAACACGUCCGACGGUGAGGGAUGAAAGCUGGGGGAGCAAACCGGAUUAGAUACCCUCGUAGUC